Molecule: transfer RNA, 68 nt
Filed under: Rhabdoblatta incisa
Lineage: Eukaryota; Metazoa; Arthropoda; Insecta; Blattodea; Blaberidae
Description: tRNA-Glu
Rfam family: tRNA
About the family: Transfer RNA (tRNA) molecules are approximately 80 nucleotides in length. Their secondary structure includes four short double-helical elements and three loops (D, anti-codon, and T loops).
Source: RNAcentral
GUUUAUGUAGUUUAAUUAUAAACAUUACACUUUCACUGUAAAGAAAUUAUAUAAAAUAAUCAUAAACU